This 837-nucleotide long non-coding RNA is filed under the name Monodelphis domestica (gray short-tailed opossum). RNAcentral's name for it is "lncRNA (ENSMODG00000039064.1)". The record is from RNAcentral. Lineage: Eukaryota; Metazoa; Chordata; Mammalia; Didelphimorphia; Didelphidae.
CCCACCAAUGCUUUGUGAUGGACCUAUCUUCUUCUCUUUGCAGUAAUUGUGACUCAGGGGAAGGGGUACCCCCUCAACUUCUCCCUGAAGGUUCUCGAUGGUCCCACGGAGCCGGUCAAAGUAGGCUCCCUACUAACCCUGGAAGCUCGAGUGGAGCCUGUUCCUGGCCAUGCCCUGAAAAUCUAUGUGGACAAGUGCUUCGGGAUGCAGACCAGAGUGCUGGGCCAGAGCCAAAGGAUGCAGUCCCUUGUCUUCAAUCAGGGGUGUAUAUUGCCUGCUGGCUGCUGGUUUGGAGUCAGAAGAAGGUGGUGGAACCCGGCCGGAAAAUGUGUUACUACAAUUCCCUCUCCUCCAGGCCUAGCUGGUACCUCCAGGAGGGCAGCCUUGGGAAUUCUGUGUGUCACUGCUGUGAGACUGUCUGUCCAUCAUUGGAGAGUUUCCACAGAGAGUUCCCAGGUGAAGGGAGAGCCCACAUGCUCCUGGUUGGACCCUUGGUCGUGCAGAAGGCUCAGACUUUCUGGUUUGAAGACCACUGUACGACCCUGAAUGAGCUGAUAGUCUCCGGGAUGGCCUUCACGGGCAGCUUCGGCAUGGUGCUGAUGAUCGUACUGGCCAUCUUGGGCACGCUGGUGGCCUGUGUCCGGCCCAUGUGCCGCUGGCCCCGGAUGACGUGGGUGAGACCCAGAGAGAGCCCUUUCCAAAGAGAGCUGGUGACUUUUGAGGAGGCCCUGGACAGCCCGGUCAGGGAGGAAGAAGAGAGGCCAGCGGAGGUGGAAAGGGGACAAAGCUGAGGAGCUUCCCUUGCUCUUGAAAUAAAGCGCCUUUUAGAAUGCUACA